GGGGCGGGCCGGAUGCGCCGUCCUGAGGCGGGCAGCAGCGCUCCGAGGCGGUUCCUGAAGAGAAAAGGGCGGCCUGAGGGGCGGAGGCGACCAUGGCGGAGGCGGAGAGGGCCGCAGGGAGCCCCCCCGGCGCCGUGCAGGUGAACGGCUCGGCUGGGGGGAACCUUAAAGACCAUCCAGUUCCACCCCGUGCUGUGUGCUGCCUGCGGCCCAUCCGUGCCAGGGAUGGGGCACCACAGCUGUGGGCAGUGCCGGGGCCUCACCGCCUCUGGUCAGUCAUUGUACCUGUUCACAACAGCGAAUGUUGGCUAGAUGAGUGCUUAAAGUCAGUUUGGGAACAGGAUUUUAAACAAACCAUGGAGCUGUCAAUUUUUAAUGAUGCCAGUAAGGAUGGUUCAGCUGAAAUCAUUGCAAAAUGGAAGGUUAAGUUGGAAGAUGCUGGUGUUCCAGUAGUUGUUGGUAGUAAUGAUUCAGCUCAGCCUCGAGGAGUUGGAUUUGCUAAAAACCAAGCAAUAAUACAGAGCUCAGGAACCUAUCUCUGCUUUCUGGAUUCAGAUGAUGUGAUGAUGCCACAGCGGGUUAGACUGCAGCAUGAAGCUGCCAUUCAACACCCAAACAGUAUUAUUGGUUGCCAAGUCAGAAGAGAGCCACCAGAGUCUACUGCACGGUAUACACGUUGGAUCAAUAAUCUGACUGAAGAACAACUUCUUACACAGGUGUUUACCUCCCAUGGGCCUACUGUCAUCAUGCCAACCUGGUUCUGUUCUCGAGAAUGGUUUUAUCACGUAGGAAAAUUUGAUGAGGGUGGAAAGGGUGUUCCAGAAGAUUUGUUGUUUUUUUAUAAACAUCUCCAAAAGGGUGGUGGAGUCCUUCGAGUGAACCGUUGCCUUCUGCUGUACCGUUACCAUCCACAGGCUGCAACUCAUUCUGUCCAUGAGGAAACCAUCUGGAAUCACCGAGUCAAGUUUCUUGAGGACAGAGUCCUGAGCACCUGGACGUCAUUCACCAUUUGGAAUGCUGGCAAGCAAGGCAAGAAGCUCUACAGAAGUUUGUCACCAGCUAAUCGGAAAAAGGUAACUGCAUUUUGUGAUGUUGAUGAAAAGAAAAUAGCAAAAGGAUUCUACACUUUUGAAGAAUCUGAGAUCCUGCGCUUAUGUCUUCAACACAGCCAUUCUCCCACAUCAUUCAUAAAUAAGAUUAUACUGCAAGCUGUUAUGAAUCCUUAGAAAAUUCUGCAGCUUGGAUCCAUGUUGAAGUCUCAGUUGGGCAUAAGCCAUUUAACAGCUAACUGAAGGGGAAGGAUUCUGCUUCUGUAUUUGCUGCUUGCCUUGUGCCUGCUUUGAUACUUCUCUGAUGGCAUGUUAAGCUGAUUCAGCUCACUAAAGGGGAGAGACCAAAACCAAAAAUUCCUAUAUGUCACUUCAGAGAAGCAACUCCACCUUUCAUUAUCUGUGUGAAGCAGGAGAAGGUCAUGAAGCCAACAUCCAUUCAGAUGGGCUGACACUCUACAGACUGCAGGCAGGUUAUGUCCUUGCCCAUCUCACUCUGUGACUGAGAUACACAGAUACUACUGAAGUUGGUGCUAUAAGACCUGAUGGCAAAAACGCCCCAGUGCAGAGGUAAAUAAAAAUCAGUAUGCGGGGAGUUGCAGCAGCACUGUACCCUGAAGACAUGAGAGUGGCCAAGGGGGCAAGAAAAUGAUGAGAAUAAACUUGCAUAAUAACAUAGUGGAAGCCCUCAACAGAGCUUGCCUUUGUGUAAAGUUUAAAUGUGCCUGUUGACUAUACGCACCUCUCAGUACCCCUAUGUCAUUGUGCUAUAUUAUUGUUGUAAUAUUAUGAAGAUAAGGAAUCAGGUUAGAAGGACAAAGACGUUUAUAAUGAAGAGCUGAAACCGAGUAUUUGUCAGCAGUGCUGGAUAUGCUGUUAUUACCUGAGAGACCUCAGACACCAUCAGACAGACAUAACAAAACACAGAUAUCUGUACCGAGGUGUAGAAAGUGUAAAAGCUGGGAGAGGAAAGGACGGGGAGGGCCUCAUCCAGCAGGCCGCGCUGCUCUGAGGAGCGCUCCCAAACCAGGUCUGCUGGACCCUCCUUUCUGCUGCCACUGGGUUCUGCAGCUGAUCUCCAGAAAGAGCUUUACAACCUCUCUUUCAGCCAUUGUCAUACUUGCUGGAUUUAAUUACUGUUAUGAGUCUCCGUGGAGGCAGUUGGAAUCUACAAAAUCCCAUUCUUAGUACUUGCAAGGUUGUGCCGGGAUUUGAAAUGGCCACGCUUUUCAGUAGUAGUUUUGUCAUGGAAAGUAGUCUUCUACCAAAACAAAACAAGCUGAUAAAUGUCUGUGGUUUAAAAUAUUCAGGUAUCCUGUCUGCAGCAGCUUUCAAACUUCUGGGUCUGACCGCUAAAGGAAAUGGUUUCUAAAUGGGCUGAGAAGAGCAGAGUAUUGAACUUUCAUUCAUCUGCGUUGCUAUUGUGCAGGCCACAAAAUGCCGCGGGUUGGCCUUUGCUGUAUUUAUAGACUGAAUUCGCCUUGCUUUCUGUGCAGCCCACAUCUGAAGUAACAGCUAGAAGCAAACCUUCCCAGCUGCUUUUCUUUAUUCACCUCUCUCCGUUUCCCCUUCCAGUGUGUUUUUCAAACGAAAAAGUAUGGCAGGAUACGUACGCAGAUAAAUAUUGAGACUGCAUCAAAUGAAAAAUGCUCUAAACUUUGAUAGCUAUUUCUGCCCCUCUGAUUCUAUUCUCUCACAUAUAUCACACAGUGUUGAUGUUAGGAGUUAAGUCCCAAGCUGAUGUGGAAGACAUGACCACAGCCAAAAGGUAAAGCUCCUCUGCAAAAAGGGACAAACAAAAUCCAUGUGUUGGAGAGGUUACAAGUGUCUGUAUUCACAAACUGUUUAGGGCAAGUAGGUUUGCCCAGCUCUGUGUUUCAGCUCAUGCUGCUAACAUACAAAAACCCCAGUGAGUGUGGGGCUGUUUCUUGUGCAGACAAACAAAUGUGUGGAUGCAGCACAUGCAGCUUAGCUGGAGUCCCCUACUGGAACUGCUUCUGUGUUGUGUGGAGCUGUUGGAAGUUGACAUAAGGCAGAGCUCUCUGCUGAGACCUUCAGUGAUUUGCUUAACCAGAGGUCAUUAACAAGUUUGUAAACAUCCCAGGCUUCUGAAUUUGUUGUUUACAAAUAUAGAUUAAUCAGCAUCCCUCUGAAGAAGUGUUCUGGGGCCUUACAGCUUUUUGUUUUGCAUUUCAUGGUUGAGAAUUAUUUUUAGGAAUGAUACAGGCAAAACCUGCAUGUUUAUAAGCAGCUCUAAGAGGGUAAUUCUGAAGAUGAGAUAUGUUUAUUAAGUGGGUCGUCUGCAGGCAUUGACCCUGAUGGCUGCACUUCAAGCACUGUUUGCUUAUUUAUUUCCUCUGGUGGUUCCUCCUUAGCACAGCAUUACUCUGUUGCCAUGUAAAACCAUUUCUGAAAAGCAGUCAUACUAUUUGAUUGUUGUUGGGUUGGCUUUUAAAAUGGCUUCACAAAGGGCUGUAGCUGAAAUCCAGUGCUCUGGGUGUGUGUGUGUGCAUGUUUCAGAGCUUUUACCCAGGAGCAUAAAAUCAUGGCUUUAGCUCAUCAAAGUUGUGUAGCAGCCUGCAGUACCACUUCACCUAAGGGUCUGCACUGUGUAUUUUCUCUUGCUUUGAGGUAAAAGCAAAAUGCUUAGAAAUCACUUAUUGUACCCUGUUUUGGCAUGGCUUCCAAGUGCUUGAAAUGAAAGGGAUUUUCUACUAUUCUGCCUCAGUAAUUAAACUAGUUCAAUUGUGUAAAGUUUUCAGUAAAUUUACUGUUAGACCAGUUAUUGUAAAGCACUGCCUUGUUCUGUCACCUCAGUCUUGUGGGCUGGGAAUGAAAGGUUUGUUUUUAACUCUUCUGCUCAAUUUAGCAUCUGGGCUCUUCUUUUAUUUUCAUUUUUAACCCUUCUUCAGAGCAGGUUGAUUUUUUUUUUUUUUUUUUUUCAGCAAGCCACACAGAACCGUUUCAUACCCCAUGUCCAAAUUUGGGUAACCUUGGGUUUAUGAAAUCAUUAGAGGACACUAAAGGUCAUGAUCAAGAUCUGCAUUUCUAAGUAGAAUUCUCUGUUGAUGUGGGUGCUGAGUUUUGCACUUGGACCAGUGGCAGCCUGGGAUCCAAACUGAAUUGCAAAACCAGGACCCAGUCCUUCACAGUAGUACUCCAUGCUGUCAAGUAUUCUUAAUAUAGAGAGGUAAAAAAAAAAAACCACCCAUACUCAACAUCUUUCUUGCUCAGGCCCUUAUCGCUCAGCUCAGCCAUUGGUCACCUAGGUGAAGUGGAGCUCUUGCUUUAAAAAUGUGCUGCCAUGAGACCUUUUUUGCCCUUCUCCAAGUUGUUUAUUAGCUGUUAUCAUUGUUCUUUUUAAUUGUUUGUAAACAUCAGUGCUCAGGUAAUUUUAUGAUUGUGCUGGGUAUUUUUCUGUUGCAGUUCUGGAUCAGAUAAUGUUGUCUUUGUGUACUUUGGCGUUGCCAGUGAAAACUGAGAAAAGCUGCAGGUAGAAGAUAAUGGCAUAGGAGAGACGGUAGGGAAUCUUUGAGCCUGGGCACAGCAUGCUGGUUUCAGCCAACGUUUGAAAUAGGCAGUGUUUCCUGUAUAAGUUUAAGGAGCUGUUUGGAGGGGACAGGUCAGGUUGUUUUGUAGUUGGGCAGACUGUUGGUUGGGAUGGCCUUGUUCCUUGAAUGGAAGGCUUCCAGGAAACACCCGUAUGCUAUGUGAGCAUUUCUAUGAGCACUUCAGUGGAUGGGUCCAAGGUGAGCUGGAAGCUGAAUGCGGUCAGGCUUCUGUGUAAGCCAGACAACUUUAUUUCUGAACUCAGAUUUACAGAAGGUCCCAGAGCAAUUCUACUGAAGCCAAUAGUUCUAGCCAAAGUCCAGCAUUCCUCCUCCAGUUCCAGUUCUGUCUGGGCUCUAGUUUUGUAACCUCCUGUCCAAAACACCUGCAGGGUGUUGUGCAACUCCAAUAUCGCUACUCUGGACCAUCCAAAAAAACAUGACAUUUUCUGUACUGUUGUAAGGUUGAAUUCAUUUCUGUGAUGUUCCUGAAGUAGAACUCAGUGAGGCCAACACAGAAGUGUCAAAAACACUGAUGUUGGCAUGUUUUCUUUUAAUGACAUCACACCUGUGUUAGGAUCUGUAUUGCUGCCUUGAAAAAUGACUCAUGGAGCAAACCUACCGGGUUCCUGCUCAGUUAACGUAAUGACAGCUUAAAAGGAAACACCUUUACCUAAGCAAAGUAUUUCAGUUGCUUGAUGAAAGGUUUGUUUCAUCAGCCAAGUUAAUCAUUGUUCAAAAUCUACAAAGUCACUGCUGUAUCAAACUCAAUCCCUUGGUUUGUUCUCUGCAAAUGCCUACAUUGGAAAACAGAAUACCCAGAGUUGCAGAUAUUUAUCUUCAGAGCUCUCAGUGUAGUCCUUGCAUUCCACUUCAGUGCAUUAGAAGGAGUUGUCUAACAUCCACCCACAACCCCAAAGAUACUAACUUGAAUGCUAAUUUCUCAACAUAUGCUUAAUUUUUGAAGAAAUACGUUUCUAAGCCUUGCUUUAUAUAUGUUUAACUCUGCAAAUGGGACUUCUGUGGUCUAAAGAACCCAAUUAGCAAAACCUGUUACAACCUGAAGUAACUUCUGUCUGGUUUUUGUGGGGUCCCCCCCCAUAGGAUUUGACAGGAGGAGCAUUUGAAACCAACUUGAGCAUGCUGAACUUGAAAGAAGGGAGGGAUUAUUAUCACUUCAACUAAAGACAAAGUCAAUACGGAAUAGUCUGAAUCCCUACCAGUUUCUUGAAGAUUCCCCUCUGUAUUCUUCGAGGAAAAAGAUGAAACUUCAGUUCCUAAAGCUAGUUUGCUACAGCAUUUGCUUGAAUAACACUUUGGUGUUAGCUGAAGUGCAACUUAGAUUUUUUUGUUUGAAUAUGAUGUAAGAAUGGCUUACUUACCUGCACAUAUAAUGGAACUCUCCUAAAGAUGAAGUACCAGUAAGUAUAGCCAUUCUUACCUGCAGCAAAACAGUUUAUAUAAGAAUAAUGCAGUAAGUCAGGUUUAAUAUUUAAUGUGUAAACAGCAAGCACAGGUUGAACGAUUCCAUUCAGAAUUGGAGAAGUGUAAAUCAUUGACAUGGGGAAAAAAAAACAACUGAAACCCAACAGGUCAGUUGUGACAGAGCUAUGAAGCUAUGAAGACAAACUGCCAUCUUGUGGCUACAGAAAAUGAAUUAAGAAAAAGACAACAUAAUGAAGUGGUGUUGCCCUCACAGGGUAGGCAUAUCUGCAUGAUGCUGUAGGACAACUUCUGCCUCUCAUUUUGUUCACCAGUGUACUUCGCAGCAAUGCUGAGAAUCCAAUGUGUUGAGAUGCCACAGCAGCACCUGAACCAACAGCUUCAAUGUACAAAGCAGAAGCCAGCACUGCAACUUCACUUUGCUGAACUCUGCAAGAGAGAAAGAGAAAAGAGGUGGAGUAGCACAUAUCAUAAUUUGACCAACAGCACAGUUGUGUAUGUAAUUAAGUGAGCUAAAUAGAAGAAAAUGUAGACAUGUAAAGUUGAAUUUUUUACUUAAAAUUUUAUUUAUUUCAAUAAAAUUAAUUCAUCUUUUCAUACCAUUA
This is an RNA transcript of Gallus gallus (chicken), 6645 nucleotides long. It is a transcript of the gene named UDP-GlcNAc:betaGal beta-1,3-N-acetylglucosaminyltransferase like 1, with no coding region annotated. The record is from RefSeq and is a predicted model, not a curated record. The transcript has 15 exons. Lineage: Eukaryota; Metazoa; Chordata; Aves; Galliformes; Phasianidae.